This 460-nucleotide ribosomal RNA is filed under the name uncultured bacterium. Its description in RNAcentral is "partial 16S ribosomal RNA". It matches the Rfam family "Bacterial small subunit ribosomal RNA", at positions 338 to 795 of the family's 1533-position model. The record is from RNAcentral.
CCUACGGGGGGCAGCAGUGAGGAAUAUUGGUCAAUGGGCGCGAGCCUGAACCAGCCAAGUAGCGUGAAGGAUGACUGCCCUACGGGUUGUAAACUUCUUUUAUAAAGGAAUACAGUGAGGCACGUGUGCCUUUUUGUAUGUACUUUAUGAAUAAGGAUCGGAUAACUCCGUGCCAGCAGCCGCGGUAAUACGUAGGAUCCGAGCGUUAUCCGGAUUUAUUGGGUUUAAAGGGAGCGUAGAUGGGUUGUUAAGUCAGUUGUGAACGUUUGCGGCUCAACCGUAAAAUUGCAAUUGAUACUGGCAGUCUUGAGUACAGUUGAGGUAGGCGGAAUUCGUGGUGUAGCGGUGAAAUGCUUAGAUAUCACGAAGAACCCCGAUUGCGAAGGCAGCUUACUAAACUGUGACUGACAUUGAUGCUCGAAAGUGUGGGUAUCAAACAGGAUUAGAUACCCCUGUAGUC